Molecule: transfer RNA, 73 nt
Filed under: Bos taurus (domestic cattle)
Lineage: Eukaryota; Metazoa; Chordata; Mammalia; Artiodactyla; Bovidae
Also listed under: 5 other names
Rfam family: tRNA
About the family: Transfer RNA (tRNA) molecules are approximately 80 nucleotides in length.
Source: Rfam by way of RNAcentral
UCCUUGGCAGUCCCCUGGUUAGGACUCUGCACUCUCAUUGCCAAGGGCCUAGGUUCAAUUCCUGGCUGGGGAA